Molecule: long non-coding RNA, 3242 nt
Organism: Malaclemys terrapin pileata
Lineage: Eukaryota; Metazoa; Chordata; Testudines; Emydidae
Exons: 3
Source: RefSeq, a predicted model, not a curated record
CCCCCCGGUUGGCUAUUUAUAGACAGAAAAGAGGCAGUCAAAGCCCCUUCCCGGUUCCCCCCAUCCCCUGCAGCCUUACCACUCUGUCUAGCCCCGCAGCUGUCUUCCCCCUUCCCCCUCCUCCCCACCCCUGAACGCUCCUGGGAAGUCUGAAAAGAAGCAGGGCCAGGUGGGAAGCAGCAGCAGGUUUUGCCCCAAGAAAUACCUCAUGUUCCAGAAGACCUUUGCAAAAAAGUCUCAGUUUAUCAUAAAACCCUUCAGGCAAGGGGAGAGAGAGAGAGAACUCCCAGGAUAAGAGGGACAAAUUCCAGCCUACGUGCACAAGAUGUGGAAAAAGUCAGAUCCCAAGAGAUGAUGCAUGUCAGCCAGAAGCACGUGGUGGUAAUAACUGCAUGAAAUAUGAUCAUUUUGUAGCUGUUAGCCAUAUCAAAGCAGUCAGGGAGUUGACUCAUAUUACAAACAAUCAAGAGCCAUUGUUUCUGGGAUCUAUCACUUGUGAUAACAUGGAGACUGCCUGGAGAGUGAAACUGAAUAUUGAUGGCAAGACUAUUGACUUUAAAAUUGACUUAUGAGCUUAUGGCACAGUCCUCUCAGAAGGGAGUUACAAUCACCUUCAACCCCUCCCAGAGCUGAAGUUACCUCUGGCAGUUCUGAAUUGUAUGGGCCAGUUCACCACAGAAGCAACCUACAUUCUGAAUGCCUACCUUUUGUCUUUGUAUGUGAUCAAAGAUAAACAGCUUUCUCAGCCACAGUGUGACAGCCACGAUUGGCAUAGUGGGAAGGAUGAAAGAAUUUGUGGAGGAUUUUGGAUUCUUGAAAAAACAUCUAGUAUAAAUCUACAGUGUACAAACGCUCUUAACCAGAGAGACCUUGGAAGACAGAAACUAACCACAGAUUUACGUGAUUCAGAAGACAUCAUUACCUGGUCGUAGUGGGCUAUUUUUCCAGGUAUAUAGAAAUAAUGUACAUGAAAGACAUCAUAUUGCAGCAGGGCUUUGGCGUGGAGCCCGGAGCUGGAGCGCGGAGCAGCUCCGGAGCAGUGGAGCUGCAGGUUUUUGCCUGGAGCUGGAGUGGAGCCGGAGCACAGCUCCAAAGCCCUGCAUUGCAGGGUUAUUGAGAAACUGAAGUGCACUUUUGUUCAUUUUGAUAUUCCAGAACAACUAGCAAUGGACAAUGAACUACAAUUCACUGCAGCAGAAUUUAAUUCUAAAUGAAAUAUGAUUGUGAUCAUAUUAUUACAGUCCACGUUAUUCACAAGUGACUGGAGAGGCUGAGAAAGCUAUAUAGACAGCCAAGAAAGUCUUGCAUCAGGAAGAUUCAUUCCUUGCUCUUCUGAGUUACAGAUCAACAUCAGUAGCAGCUACUGGAUAUAAACCAGCACAACUCCUGAUUGGAACAUAAUCUGAGUGGUUUUCCCAAGUUGGAACAGAAGCUCUAUCUCCAAAGUGGCUAGACACGAAGAGAGUAGCCAAAUUUUGUUAAAAAGGCUAAAAGAGCUUAUUAACACUUUUACAACAGAUGUCACUCAGUUAAAGAAAUGCUGGGUCUAUAACCUGGUGACCAUGUUCACGUCAAAUUGGCUGGAGGAAAAAAAGAUGGACAACUCCAGUUGUGGUAAAGAAAAAGAAUUCAGCACUGUGACCAUAUGUGAUCAGCACUGACAGUGGAGGGUUCAGCAAAAAAACAAUUGACAGCUACAGUUCCUCAGAAAGAACAAUAAACUGAGAAACUUUACAGAUAGCAGAUGCAGAACAAGAAGACGACAACUCCAAAUUGAUCACAUUCAAUCUUUGCAACUAAUAGAUAACCAGAUGUCCAAGCUGUUACACAUUCAGGUUAUGUAAUUGGAAAACCAGUACUAUUCAGAGACACUUAACAGACUUAUAUGUACAGAACUUCAAAGAUAGCAUGAGUGUAAAUGGCAAGAAUGUAGAACUUAAAGGGGGAGAUGUAAUGGAAUGCUAAACUGUAUUGUACUGUUCAGCCACUAGGUGAUGCUGUGUGUAAAACACCUUAUUUAAACGAAUCAAAGCCAUACCUGACAGAGCAGUAAAGGAUCCUCUGAUGAACACGUGGUCUGUAUAAGCAAGCUCUGUAGCCAGUCCAUGUUCCUUUACCAGAUAUGCCACUCCUCUAUUAUUUUACAUUUAAAUUCAAGUUGAAUCCUUGCCUGCAAGAUUCUGCACCAUUCUCUUCUUUUCAUUUCUUCCUCCUUCUCCAUUGCUUUUUAUGUCUGUCUCAGUCCUUUCUCCUAAUUGUACCUUUGGUUUCCUCCCACUCUUGAUUUUAUGGUUACUUUCCACCAACCUGCUAUGCUUAGAGAAGCUUCUGCCUUCAUUAAUGCCAGGGACCUCCUCUUGCAUUCCUAUAAAUCAUGCCUUAAAACCAAGACCCUAUCUAGUUUGCACAAAAUGGGCUUAAAUACUGCAGCAUGGCCCUUCUGAAGAGCUAGUUAGGUGAUGGCUGUUGAUAUAAGGGAAGUUCAAGUCAUCCAACCAGCUUUAAGGCUGUGAGGUGUAAUGAUGCAGGGUCCAGGUGUAGAAUCUUGCCUGGAUUCUGGCAGACUAAAGCAGGAGGGUGAUUUGCAGAUAGGCUGACAGUUCCAUUGGGUUGGAGAAUCAAAACUGUCUGGUCCAUAGUGAGUUUAUCAUGAUCACAAGACAGACGCCCUGCUUCAGUUUUCUGAGAACACUGGGAUCACUGGGAAGGCAUAGAACAGUCCUGGUACCAGUAAAAGGAGAACAGUGUCUGUCAGUGAACCCACGCUUGCACAUCCACUGGAGCAAAACAUCCUGUAUUUGUUGUUUUUGAGGCAUAUAGCAAAUAGAAUCGCUGAUAGCAACCCUCCAUCUCAGGAAGAUGUUAUGGACUGUCAUUAGAUACCAUUCAUGAUACUUGAAAAAAUCCCUGCUGAGUUGAGCUGCUAGGGUGUUUUGUAGAUUGAACAGGUGGGUGGCAUAUGUGUAACACCGACAGAUUCCGGUCGUCAGCAGGUGGGAUCGAACCUGGGACCUCUGGAGCUUAGUGCACGAGCUUCUACUACUGCAUGAGCUAAAAGCCAUCUGGCUGUUAGCUAAGGCUGUAGAGCAGACUCAUUAAUCUCUUUCUGAGUGAUCUCAGUGCCACUAGAUGGAACAGAACACCACACCAAGAAGGUGUGUGGGUUACAUAUGCACCAGUUCCAAAGAUGUGGUGCUCUUGACAGAGUGGGCAAGAUUUGCUUUCCUCCCUCUUUGCGCCAU